CUGUCUCCAACCUGGAUGGAAGGACUUUUUUUUACCAGGGAAGCUCAGAGUAUUUCCCUGUGGAGCAACAAGCACUGAAACGUCUCAGAAGAUGAGCAAGCUGCUGGCAUCCUAUCUCUUCAGAGGGCAAACAGGAGGCUAAUUGUAAAUGCCUUAACUGGAGCCCACCUAUCUCUUGGCUCAAGAAAUGCGAACAGUUGUUAAGUAUCCAGCCCGAAGCCCACUUCCUGGUGCCCCAUGAAAUGUAAACAGGAGGCCAAUUGUGAAUGUCUAACCUGGAGCUCAUCUAUCUCCUACAUCAAUUCCCCCAUCAGUUGUACUGGGUAAGACCUCUCCUCAGAUAGCAACAUUGAGAAGCAAAAGUGACAUCUGGCCUGAGGACCCCAGUUCAGAACUGCCAGAGAAGAAGAGGCAGGAACUCGAAAGAGAGAAAGUUCAUGACUCAGAGGAAGUGGUUCUUCCUGCCACAGGAAGAGUCAGCGUAUCCUGAGGAAACCACAGGCUUUGCAGAGCCUGAGCUCUUCCUGGUCCAGAGGGAGAAGACUCGGUUUGCAGUAUUCAGGGUGGAGCCUGUGUCUGAGGCCUUACCCGUUUGAGACAGAAUCUGACCCAGGCCCCGGAGAGGAGAUUUGGAGGGGUGGUGCACCCAGUUAGUUGCACCAAGUUAGGCUCAGCAAACCAGAGAUCAAACCAGUCAGUCCUAAAGGAAAUCAGUCCU
Molecule: long non-coding RNA, 718 nt
Organism: Capra hircus (goat)
Lineage: Eukaryota; Metazoa; Chordata; Mammalia; Artiodactyla; Bovidae
Exons: 3
Source: RefSeq, a predicted model, not a curated record